Molecule: ribosomal RNA, 433 nt
Filed under: uncultured bacterium
Lineage: Bacteria
Description: partial 16S ribosomal RNA
Rfam family: Bacterial small subunit ribosomal RNA
Source: RNAcentral
GACGAACGCUGGCGGCAUGCUUAACACAUGCAAGUCGAACGAGACGGCCGGGUUUAGGGGCGCCCGGGUGGGUAACGCGUGGGAAACUGCCCUUAUGAUCGGCAUAACUCCCCGAGAUAGGUUCUAAUACCGGAUAAUAUCACCGGACCAAAGCUCUUUCGCCUUUGGGUGGGCCGGCGUUGGUUUAGGUAGUGGGUAGGGUAUACGCCUACCAAGGCGGCGAUCCGUAGCUGGUCUGAGAGGAGGAUCAGCCGCACUGGGACUGAGACCCGGCCCAGACUGGUACGGGAGGCGGCAGUGAGUAAUAUUGGGGAGUGGGCGAAAGCCUGAUCCAGCAAUGCCGCGUGGGUGAUGAUGGGGUUAGGGUUGGAAAUCUCUUUUACCCGAGAUGUGAAUGACGGUAGCGGGUGAAUAAGCACCGGCUAACUCCGUG